CGCUAGCUACAGGCUUAACACAUGCAAGUCGCCUUGCAGCAUGGUCUUAGCUUGCUAAGACUGAUGGCGACCGGCGCACGGGUGAGUAACACGUAUCCAACCUGCCGUCUACUCUUGGACAGCCUUCUGAAAGGAAGAUUAAUACAAGAUGGCAUCAUGAGUCCGCAUGUUCACAUGAUUAAAGGUAUUCCGGUAGACGAUGGGGAUGCGUUCCAUUAGAUAGUAGGCGGGGUAACGGCCCACCUAGUCUUCGAUGGAUAGGGGUUCUGAGAGGAAGGUCCCCCACAUUGGAACUGAGACACGGUCCAAACUCCUACGGGAGGCAGCAGUGAGGAAUAUUGGUCAAUGGGCGAGAGCCUGAACCAGCCAAGUAGCGUGAAGGAUGACUGCCCUAUGGGUUGUAAACUUCUUUUAUAAAGGAAUAAAGUCGGGUAUGCAUACCCGUUUGCAUGUACUUUAUGAAUAAGGAUCGGCUAACUCCGUGCCAGCAGCCGCGGUAAUACGGAGGAUCCGAGCGUUAUCCGGAUUUAUUGGGUUUAAAGGGAGCGUACAUGGAUGUUUAAGUCAGUUGUGAAAGUUUGCGGCUCAACCGUAAAAUGGCAGUUGAUACUGGAUAUCUUGAGUGCAGUUGAGGCAGGCGGAAUUCGUGGUGUAGCGGUGAAAUGCUUAGAUAUCACGAAGAACUCCGAUUGCGAAGGCAGCCUGCUAAGCUGCAACUGACAUUGAGGCUCGAAAGUGUGGGUAUCAAACAGGAUUAGAUACCCUGGUAGUCCACACGGUAAACGAUGAAUACUCGCUGUUUGCGAUAUACUGCAAGCGGCCAAGCGAAAGCGUUAAGUAUUCCACCUGGGGAGUACGCCGGCAACGGUGAAACUCAAAGGAAUUGACGGGGGCCCGCACAAGCGGAGGAACAUGUGGUUUAAUUCGAUGAUACGCGAGGAACCUUACCCGGGCUUAAAUUGCAGAUGAAUUACGGUGAAAGCCGUAAGCCGCAAGGCAUCUGUGAAGGUGCUGCAUGGUUGUCGUCAGCUCGUGCCGUGAGGUGUCGGCUUAAGUGCCAUAACGAGCGCAACCCUUGUUGUCAGUUACUAACAGGUUCCGCUGAGGACUCUGACAAGACUGCCAUCGUAAGAUGUGAGGAAGGUGGGGAUGACGUCAAAUCAGCACGGCCCUUACGUCCGGGGCUACACACGUGUUACAAUGGGGGGUACAGAGGGCCGCUACCACGCGAGUGGAUGCCAAUCCCCAAAACCUCUCUCAGUUCGGACUGGAGUCUGCAACCCGACUCCACGAAGCUGGAUUCGCUAGUAAUCGCGCAUCAGCCACGGCGCGGUGAAUACGUUCCCGGGCCUUGUACACACCGCCCGUCAAGCCAUGGGAGCCGGGGGUACCUGAAGUGCGUAACCGCGAGGAGCGCCCUAGGGUAAAACUGG
This 1433-nucleotide ribosomal RNA is filed under the name uncultured organism. Its description in RNAcentral is "16S ribosomal RNA". It matches the Rfam family "Bacterial small subunit ribosomal RNA". The record is from RNAcentral.